This 785-nucleotide ribosomal RNA is filed under the name Brachionus quadridentatus brevispinus. Its description in RNAcentral is "SSU rRNA". It matches the Rfam family "Eukaryotic small subunit ribosomal RNA", at positions 104 to 886 of the family's 1831-position model. The record is from RNAcentral. Lineage: Eukaryota; Metazoa; Rotifera; Eurotatoria; Ploima; Brachionidae.
AAUCAGUUAUGGUUCCUUAGAUCGUUCAUACUACAUGGAUAACUGUGGUAAUUCUAGAGCUAAUACAUGCAAAAAGCUCCGACCGUAUGGGAAGAGCGCUUUUAUUAGACCAAAACCAAUGGGGUCGCAAGACUCCUUUGUAUGGUGACUCUGGAUAACUUUGUGCUGAUCGCAUGGCCUAGAGCCGGCGACGUAUCUUUCAAGUGUCUGCCCUAUCAACUUUCGAUGGUAAGCGAUUUGCCUACCAUGGUUGUAACGGGUAACGGGGAAUCAGGGUUCGAUUCCGGAGAGGGAGCAUGAGAAAUGGCUACCACAUCUACGGAAGGCAGCAGGCGCGCAAAUUACCCACUCCUAGAACGGGGAGGUAGUGACGAAAAAUAACAAUACCGGACUCAAUGAGGCUCGGUAAUUGAAAUGAGUACAGUUUAAAACCCUUAACGAGGAUCUAUUGGAGGGCAAGUCUGGUGCCAGCAGCCGCGGUAAUUCCAGCUCCAAUAGCGUAUAUUAAAGUUGUUGCAGUUAAAAAGCUCGUAGUUGGAUCUCGGGUACUAGCAUGUGGUACGCUUAAUUGCUGUUACUACAUGUCUGGUCCUAAUCAACCGGUUGGCCGUUGAUGUCCUUUAUUGGGUGUUUUCGGUAGCCGGUACGUUUACUUUGAGAAAAUUAGAGUGCUUAAAGCAGGCCUUACGCCUGAAUAAUGUUGCAUGGAAUAAUAGAAUAGGACCUCGGUUCUAUUUUGUUGGUUUUGUAGAGCAUUGAGGUAAUGAUUAAUAGGGACAGACGGG